RNAcentral lists this non-coding RNA (30 nucleotides) under Rattus norvegicus (Norway rat). The record is from RNAcentral. Lineage: Eukaryota; Metazoa; Chordata; Mammalia; Rodentia; Muridae.
UUUUCUUUUUGCUGUGAUAUCAGAAUUUUA